Molecule: ribosomal RNA, 1378 nt
Filed under: Salmonella enterica
Lineage: Bacteria; Pseudomonadati; Pseudomonadota; Gammaproteobacteria; Enterobacterales; Enterobacteriaceae
Description: partial 23S ribosomal RNA
Rfam family: Bacterial large subunit ribosomal RNA
Source: RNAcentral
CGUAUCACCCAAGACAACUUUACGGAGUUGACGAUUGACGGAGCGAAGCGACGUCAAAGCGUUCAUUAAAGUCGAGUUGGCUUAGGGAUACGUUCGUUGGGUAGGGGAGCGUUCUGUAAGCCUGUGAAGGUGUGUCGUGAGGCAUGCUGGAGGUAUCAGAAGUGCGAAUGCUGACAUAAGUAACGAUAAAGCGGGUGAAAAGCCCGCUCGCCGGAAGACCAAGGGUUCCUGUCCAACGUUAAUCGGGGCAGGGUGAGUCGACCCCUAAGGCGAGGCCGAAAGGCGUAGUCGAUGGGAAACGGGUUAAUAUUCCCGUACUUGGUGUUACUGCGAAGGGGGGACGGAGAAGGCUAUGUUGGCCGGGCGACGGUUGUCCCGGUUUAAGCGUGUAGGUGUGUGUUCCAGGUAAAUCCGGUUCACUUUAACACUGAGGCGUGACGACGAGGCACUACGGUGCUGAAGCAACAAAUGCCCUGCUUCCAGGAAAAGCCUCUAAGCAUCAGGUAACACGAAAUCGUACCCCAAACCGACACAGGUGGUCAGGUAGAGAAUACCAAGGCGCUUGAGAGAACUCGGGUGAAGGAACUAGGCAAAAUGGUGCCGUAACUUCGGGAGAAGGCACGCUGACACGUAGGUGAAGUGAUUUACUCAUGGAGCUGAAGUCAGUCGAAGAUACCAGCUGGCUGCAACUGUUUAUUAAAAACACAGCACUGUGCAAACACGAAAGUGGACGUAUACGGUGUGACGCCUGCCCGGUGCCGGAAGGUUAAUUGAUGGGGUCAGCGUAAGCGAAGCUCCUGAUCGAAGCCCCGGUAAACGGCGGCCGUAACUAUAACGGUCCUAAGGUAGCGAAAUUCCUUGUCGGGUAAGUUCCGACCUGCACGAAUGGCGUAAUGAUGGCCAGGCUGUCUCCACCCGAGACUCAGUGAAAUUGAACUCGCUGUGAAGAUGCAGUGUACCCGCGGCAAGACGGAAAGACCCCGUGAACCUUUACUAUAGCUUGACACUGAACAUUGAGCCUUGAUGUGUAGGAUAGGUGGGAGGCUUUGAAGUGUGGACGCCAGUCUGCAUGGAGCCGACCUUGAAAUACCACCCUUUAAUGUUUGAUGUUCUAACGUGGACCCGUAAUCCGGGUUGCGGACAGUGUCUGGUGGGUAGUUUGACUGGGGCGGUCUCCUCCUAAAGAGUAACGGAGGAGCACGAAGGUUGGCUAAUCCUGGUCGGACAUCAGGAGGUUAGUGCAAUGGCAUAAGCCAGCUUGACUGCGAGCGUGACGGCGCGAGCAGGUGCGAAAGCAGGUCAUAGUGAUCCGGUGGUUCUGAAUGGAAGGGCCAUCGCUCAACGGAUAAAAGGUACUCCGGGGAUAACAGGCUGAUAC